Molecule: ribosomal RNA, 205 nt
Filed under: uncultured bacterium
Lineage: Bacteria
Description: partial 16S ribosomal RNA
Rfam family: Bacterial small subunit ribosomal RNA
Source: RNAcentral
GAUUGCAGGCUGCAACUCGCCUGCAUGAAGUCGGAAUUGCUAGUAAUCGUGGAUCAGCAUGCCACGGUGAAUACGUUCCCGGGCCUUGUACACACCGCCCGUCACACCAUGGGAGUCGGUAACACCCGAAGCCUGUAGUCUAACCGCAAGGAGGACGCAGUCGAAGGUGGGAUUGAUGACUGGGGUGAAGUCGUAACAAGGUAUC